AUACGGAGGGUGCAAGCGUUAUUCGGAAUCACUGGGCGUAAAGGACGCGUAGGCGGGUUGGCAAGUCAGAUGUGAAAUCCUACAGCUUAACUGUAGAACUGCAUUUGAAACUGCUAACCUAGAGUAUGGGAGGGGGAGAUGGAAUUAGUGGUGUAGGGGUAAAAUCCGUAGAUAUCACUAGGAAUACCGGAAGCGAAGGCGAUCUCCUGGAACAUAACUGACGCUAAGGCGUGAAAGCGUGGGGAGCAAACAGGAUUAGAAACCCUAGUAGUCC
This 274-nucleotide ribosomal RNA is filed under the name uncultured bacterium. Its description in RNAcentral is "partial 16S ribosomal RNA". It matches the Rfam family "Bacterial small subunit ribosomal RNA", at positions 523 to 796 of the family's 1533-position model. The record is from RNAcentral.